GCGACGGAGAUCGAAAAUGGACUCAGGC
Molecule: small RNA, 28 nt
Filed under: Bombyx mori (domestic silkworm)
Lineage: Eukaryota; Metazoa; Arthropoda; Insecta; Lepidoptera; Bombycidae
Description: ovarian small RNA-16811
Source: RNAcentral